This is a long non-coding RNA of Pantherophis guttatus, 179 nucleotides long. RefSeq lists it as uncharacterized. The record is from RefSeq and is a predicted model, not a curated record. Lineage: Eukaryota; Metazoa; Chordata; Lepidosauria; Squamata; Colubridae.
CUGCUUGAAGCAGAGGAGAAAGUUAUUUCUGAAGGCACAAUACAAGCAAAGUAGAAGAUCAGCUGUUCAGAGAAUUCAACUGAAAAGUCAGAUGAGGAGUGGAGGAAAGCUUGAAUGGUGGAGAGUUUCGUUUUCCUUCCCACAGUACUUUUUUUUUAAAUAAAAAAAUUACCAUCUUA